UUUCAAAAUGCUCCAACUGUUGAAAUACCCUGGGAUUUCAACGAGGGCCAGGAUGUUUAUACCAGAAGGCGCUAUGACCGCGUGUUCUUGGCUAUUCUCUCCUCUUCGUUCGCCCUUCUUUCAGUCGUCUGCUGGAUUUCGAGGGGUUAAUGCGAGUCUGCAGAUUUACUAUUUGUAUUCCAGAAAUACGCGCGACCGUUGAAUUAUGGCGAAUAAAAGUAAAAUGCUCGACAUGAAUGAUCCGAAGGAUCUUGUGAUUAUAAGAAAUAUGCUUUUAUGUGACAGUGAUGACGAUGAGGACAUUAUUUUAGAUGAAAGCAUUACAGACGAA
This is a long non-coding RNA of Stegodyphus dumicola, 331 nucleotides long. The record is from RefSeq and is a predicted model, not a curated record. NCBI's taxonomy places the organism in Eukaryota, Metazoa, Arthropoda, Arachnida, Araneae, Eresidae.